CCAGAAAGGAGUUCUCUUAUAACACAGUUUAUGACAUAUAAUCUGCUGUAAUUCUUGCUGUAGUCCAUGGAUAAUUCAGUAUUAGUUAUGCUAUUUUAGUUCUAGUAGCACCUCUGUGCUGCUGAAAUUCUCCAAAUAAGGGGCCAGAUUGUAACCUACCUUAGAUACCUGUAUUAUGGGUAGCAGUGAGAGACACAGACCCGACUGUUACAUCGCCUCCUGCACAUUCACUGUGGUACCAGAGCACCUUGGAGUCAAGAACUCAGUGGGAAAAUUCCCCAUUUACAGACCUGUGAAACAAGAAUUUGCAAGCUACAGCUAAGAAGAGAGAAAAUGACUUGCCUACGUUUACGCAGCAUGCCAGUGGAAGAGCAAGGACUAGAAUGUGGAUCUCCCACGUCCUAACUCAGUGCCCUAUCCAGCAGACCACACUGCCCCUCCUGUCUUGCCAGUUCUGGAAAAAGCAAGGUCUCCCCAAGAAUGAAUGGAAUCUGGGGUACUGUGUUAUUCAUCACCCUGUUUACUAGCAGAAAAACAAAGACUUCAUUUGGAAGCUACAAGAAGAGACUAUAAGGAAGAAUUCUGCAUUAGAAUAGGAGGGAAUCAGUCCUGAGAUCAUGUUGUUAGUUUGGGGGUCUCUGUCUCAUGGAGAAGCACACAGUCUGUGAAUCAAAAUGCAGUAGCCCACUGUUCUUCUCCACUCCUGUAACACUGUCAUUUUGAUGAGAGGAGGAAAGGAUUGAAAAUAUUGGACUCACUUCUCUUUCCUGGACGAGUUCCUGUAUUCCAUGGAGCCCGCACCAGCACCUUUAUUUCACUUUCCUAAUCCCUGCCACUGCAUGCCAACCUUCUCUUUGAAAAUAUGGAUAGGAUUUUUUUUUUGUAAAAGAG
Molecule: long non-coding RNA, 891 nt
Organism: Mauremys reevesii (Reeves's turtle)
Lineage: Eukaryota; Metazoa; Chordata; Testudines; Geoemydidae
Exons: 4
Source: RefSeq, a predicted model, not a curated record